GACCUCAAAUCAGGUAAGAGUACCCGCUGAACUUAAGCAUAUCAAUAAGCGGAGGAAAAGAAAAUAACAAUGAUUCCCUUAGUAACGGCGAGUGAAGGGGGAUAAGCUCAAAUUUUAAAUCUGACUAGGUUUUACCUAUCAGAGUUGUAUUUUGAAGAAGCGUUUUCCGCGUCUCGGUUGGCCCAAGUCCUUUGGGAUAAGGUAUCAUGGAGGGUGAGAAUCCCGUUCGGUUGACCUUAUGACGCUUUACGAUACGCUCUCAAAGAGUCGAGUUGUUUGGGAUUGCAGCUCAAAAUGGGAGGUAAAUUUCUCCUAAGGCUAAAUAUCGGCGAGAGACCGAUAGCGAACAAGUACCGUGAGGGAAAGAUGAAAAGAACUUUGAAAAGAGAGUAAAAUAGUACGUGAAAUUGUUGAAAGGGAAACGAUUGAAG
RNAcentral lists this ribosomal RNA (431 nucleotides) under uncultured Glomus. RNAcentral's name for it is "eukaryotic LSU rRNA". It matches the Rfam family "Eukaryotic large subunit ribosomal RNA", at positions 1 to 428 of the family's 3401-position model. Lineage: Eukaryota; Fungi; Glomeromycota; Glomeromycetes; Glomerales; Glomeraceae. The record is from RNAcentral.